This 915-nucleotide ribosomal RNA is filed under the name Clonostachys rosea. Its description in RNAcentral is "LSU rRNA". It matches the Rfam family "Eukaryotic large subunit ribosomal RNA", at positions 24 to 968 of the family's 3401-position model. Lineage: Eukaryota; Fungi; Ascomycota; Sordariomycetes; Hypocreales; Bionectriaceae. The record is from RNAcentral.
UAAAAGGCGGUGCGUUGAUAGCAUAUCAAUAAGCGGAGGAAAAGAAACCAACAGGGAUUGCCCUAGUAACGGCGAGUGAAGCGGCAACAGCUCAAAUUUGAAAUCUGGCGCAAGCCCGAGUUGUAAUUUGUAGAGGAUGUUUCUGGCGACGCGCCUUCCGAGUUCCCUGGAACGGGACGCCAUAGAGGGUGAGAGCCCCGUACGGUUGGAUGCCUAGCCUCUGUGAAACUCCUUCGACGAGUCGAGUAGUUUGGGAAUGCUGCUCUAAAUGGGAGGUAUACGUCUUCUAAAGCUAAAUACCGGCCAGAGACCGAUAGCGCACAAGUAGAGUGAUCGAAAGAUGAAAAGCACUUUGAAAAGAGGGUUAAAAAGUACGUGAAAUUGUUGAAAGGGAAGCGUUCAUGACCAGACUUGGGCAGGUUGAUCAUCCGUGGUUCUCCGCGGUGCACUCUGCCUGCCCAGGCCAGCAUCAGUUCGCUCCGGGGGAUAAAGGCUCUGGGAAUGUGGCUCCUUCGGGAGUGUUAUAGCCCACUGCGUAAUACCCUGGGGUGGACUGAGGUUCGCGCUCUGCAAGGAUGCUGGCGUAAUGGUCAUCAACGACCCGUCUUGAAACACGGACCAAGGAGUCGUCUUCGUAUGCGAGUGUUCGGGUGUCAAACCCCUACGCGUAAUGAAAGUGAACGUAGGAGAGAGCUUCGGCGCAUCUCCGACCGAUCCUGAUGUUCUCGGAUGGAUUUGAGUAAGAGCAUACGGGGCCGGACCCGAAAGAAGGUGAACUAUGCCUGUAUAGGGUGAAGCCAGAGGAAACUCUGGUGGAGGCUCGCAGCGGUUCUGACGUGCAAAUCGAUCGUCAAAUAUGGGCAUGGGGGGCGAAAGACUAAUCGAACCUUCUAGUAGCUGGUUUCCGCCGAGCUC